Molecule: long non-coding RNA, 967 nt
Organism: Lotus japonicus
Lineage: Eukaryota; Viridiplantae; Streptophyta; Magnoliopsida; Fabales; Fabaceae
Exons: 5
Source: RefSeq, a predicted model, not a curated record
UCACAUUGUAAUUUCAAUUUUAGUUUGUUCGUGACUUUAUUUCUUGGAGCUUACAUACUGUGCCAUUUGAUUUUCUCCUUCGUUUUGAUUUAUGUUAUGAAUUCAGAGUUUGAUUUCAUCAUUUAUCAUUUUUUCAUUCAGAGCAUGGCAAUGGACGGUGAAUAAGGUGAGCCAUUAUCUCUCCCUUCUCUAUUUGUAGCAUGCUCUUUUAUUGAGGUUCUUAAAUGACAUCUGAUUUCAUUUUGUAUUUGGUUUGUGAGUUUCUAUUCUACACCUAUUAUGCGUGCAAGUGUAAGAAUAGAAAGCACAGGUCCAUGGACGCUUUGAGAAAAUAAGCAACAAAAAGUUUAACUUCUUCUACUUCGUUUGAGCGAGCAUCGCUGUAUGGUUCUAGGAAUAUUCUUGACCAUCACAGAGACAUGAGGAUGGGCGUAGAUAACAUGAGCUAUGAGGAACUUCUUGCACUUGGUGAGAGGAUUGGCCAUGUUAACACAGGGUUGUCUGAAGACUCGCUCACCAAGAAACAGUGUAAUCUUUCUGAAGCUGAUUUCAUCCAAGGUUACUGAAUCACCCUUAUAAGGCAAGUCUUCAUGAGAUCAACGAGGAACCCAGUUGCCCAUCUCCUUUAAUUUUUGAUUUCGAGCAGGCAACUCUUGACGAAGAAGAUAUAAAGGAGCUCAUAUGGAAGGAGUCUCUGAACUUCUGCUAGGAUCAGAUGCAAUGGACACAACUGCAACCACUAUUUAGAAGCAUGCAUUGGUAAAGGAAGCCAGUGAAGGAAGCACAGAGCUUGGUUUCUCAUUAAAGCAUGAUAUUGUGAGUCUGGUUCUAGAUAUUAUAGAUUUGUCUAAAUGGCACAUGUUCUAGUUUUAAUGGAUUUUUCUCCAAGGUAGAGGCACAUGAUCUUAAAAACAAAGUGAUUCAAACAAAAAGAAGUUGCAGAGAUUAGGGGAUGAUUAUUUUGAAG